CCUACGGGAGGCAGCAGUGGGGAAUAUUGGACAAUGGGCGCAAGCCUGAUCCAGCCAUGCCGCGUGAGUGAUGAAGGCCCUAGGGUUGUAAAGCUCUUUCGCCGGUGAAGAUAAUGACUGUAGCCGGUAAAGAAGCCCCGGCUAACUUCGUGCCAGCAGCCGCGGUAAU
RNAcentral lists this ribosomal RNA (169 nucleotides) under uncultured bacterium. RNAcentral's name for it is "partial 16S ribosomal RNA". It matches the Rfam family "Bacterial small subunit ribosomal RNA", at positions 338 to 524 of the family's 1533-position model. The record is from RNAcentral.